This 305-nucleotide ribosomal RNA is filed under the name uncultured bacterium. RNAcentral's name for it is "bacterial SSU rRNA". It matches the Rfam family "Bacterial small subunit ribosomal RNA", at positions 333 to 656 of the family's 1533-position model. The record is from RNAcentral.
UUGGUCCUACGGGGGGCAGCAGUGGGGGAUAUUGCACAAUGGAGGAAACUCUGAUGCAGCGACGCCGCGUGAGGGAAGACGGUCUUCGGAUUGUAAACCUCUGUCUUUGGGGAAGAAAAUGACGGUACCCAAAGAGGAAGCUCCGGCUAACUACGUGCCAGCAGCCGCGGUAAUACGUAGGGAGCGAGCGUUGUCCGGAAUUACUGGGUGUAAAGGGAGCGUAGGCGGGCGAGAAAGAUGAAUGUUAAAUCUACCGGCUUAACUGGUAGCUGCUUUCAAAAAUUCUUGUCUUGAGUGGAGAAGAG